AGAAAAUAAGCCCAGCUGUUGAGAGGGUCAAAAUGUCAUAACAGUGCUGUGAAUUACCAGAUGCUAAUUCUUUUGUUGUACAUACUUACAAAAAAAAAUUGUAUUCUGUUGGUAACAACUUUUGUUUUAUUCGAUGCUAUAAGGGUCAUCAACAUGUGUCGCACGGCACACCCCCAAAACUCCCUCGAGAACUUAUCAAACUCUCCACAAACCGGAAUAUUCACAAAUGUAGCAUUAAUCCCUUGAAACGGCUGAGUUUGCACCAGGUCGAGUACAAACUCUAUCCCUUCAACAAAAUCGUCGAAGCCGUCGUCCUCUUCAAACAGAUUUAAGUUAACGUUCGGAAAGUCAAUUGGGUUAGACGAUUUUAAAGUAACGCUUCCCGAAAUUUCUGGUGAAGGAGAAUCAAACUGAACGAAACAUUAGACGAGGGGUUGAGAUUAUUUAGAUAGUUUUCUAUUAAGUUGUUGUUGUAGUUGUACAUUCUGGCCACGAUUGGACUGCUACUACCCGAAUGAGGACUAAAGGUGUACAUAACGGCUGGAGUACCGUCAGUAGUGUCUCCCUGGAGGAAGCCAAGAGCCUCGGUUGUUGAAGUAAGAGGACCUGAACCUUGCAAGUACUGCUCGAUGGAGUCAAGGAAGGUCAAACCCAGGAAUUGUGGGUGCUCCAUGAGGUUUUGACCCUUUGGGAAGUCAAUACCCAACUCUUCUAAGUGCUUUGACUGUCCUAUGCCUGAAAGAAUUAGAAGUUGUGGAGUGUUAAUGGCACUUGCAGCCACAAGCACUUCUUUGUUUGCACUAACCCGAAAUUUUUGGUCUUUGGUUGCAAACGCCACCCCUUGAACGCGCUUCGUUGCUUCAUCGAUAUUAACUCUAGUGACCAGAGCUACAGUGAUUACUUCAAGGUUGCUCCUUUUUCUGGCGUUAUCCGGAAUGCCGUCCCCUCGCUUUGCCACUUUUUAUUUAACUUAAAAAUUCCCUGCCGAUUUUUGCUAUAUUUUUAUACGAGCCUCUUCAGCAAUAAUUCAAGAAAUACGAUGCGCAACACGCAGGUUUACACCUCGCAGAAUUUCAGCAUCUGCAUGCCGUGCGUUUUGUACCAUUUCCCGGCGUUGUUUGAUUGUAGUACUCGUGAGUUAAUUUUAAUUGUUUUGUUGAAUCAUGCUACCUUUUUUAUCCUGUUUAAAAAAAUGGGACCAGCCAGCUUUGCCCCCUACGAUUGUAAAACAAGAACUUCUAAAAUCUAUCAGCGACACUUUUUUGCCGUUUCAAAGCAUUCACGUGUAUGAAAUAAUUCCAAAAGAAAAACAGGCCGAGGAUGAGCCAUGUGGUUGGGUGGUGAAAUGUCGUCACAACUUUGAGAGCGAAGAUUAUGAGGAGGUUGGACUACAACAGUAUGCGUACGGAUUACUCAACAAGUACAAGCCCCAAAAUACCAAAAAUUUUGAGGUAGUAGUCCUUGAUGCGAAUCGAUUUAACGUUACAUACACCCUUGAAUGUGGCUGCUAAUUGAUAAAUUCUUGAAUACAUCCAAUAGUGUGAUAGCUGCCUGAUAAUUUUGUAUUUUUUUUGUAACGAGUUUUUCAUUGUAGUUUUUAUCACU
This is a long non-coding RNA of Zophobas morio, 1605 nucleotides long. RefSeq lists it as uncharacterized. NCBI's taxonomy places the organism in Eukaryota, Metazoa, Arthropoda, Insecta, Coleoptera, Tenebrionidae. The record is from RefSeq and is a predicted model, not a curated record. The transcript has 3 exons.